This 422-nucleotide ribosomal RNA is filed under the name uncultured bacterium. RNAcentral describes it as "partial 16S ribosomal RNA". It matches the Rfam family "Bacterial small subunit ribosomal RNA", at positions 360 to 774 of the family's 1533-position model. The record is from RNAcentral.
AAUUUUGGACAAUGGGGGCAACCCUGAUCCAGCCAUCCCGCGUGUGCGAUGAAGGCCUUCGGGUCGUAAAGCACUUUUGGCAGGGAAGAAAAGGUUCUGGCUAAUAUCUGGAAGUGCUGACGGUACCUGCAGAAUAAGCACCGGCAAACUACGUGCCAGAAGCCGCGGUAAUACGUAGGGUGCAAGCGUUAAUCGGAAUUACUGGGCGGAAAGCGUUGGCAGGCGGUUCGGCAAGAAGGAUGUGAAAUCCCGGGGCUUAACCUCGGAACUGCAUUCUUAACUGCCGGGCUAGAGUAUGUCAGAGGGGGGUAGAAUUCCACGUGUAGCAGUGAAAUGCGUAGAGAUGUGGAGGAAUACAGAUGGCGAAGGCAGCCCCCUGGGAUGAUACUGACGCUCAUGCACGAAAGCGUGGGGAGCAAACA